GUGAGGAAUUUUCCGCAAUGGGCGAAAGUCUGACGGAGCAAUGCCGCGUGAAGGAUGAAGGCCUAUGGGUUGUAAACUUCUUUUCUUAGAGAAGAAUAUUGACGGUAUCUGAGGAAUAAGCAUCGGCUAACUCUGUGCCAGCAGCCGCGGUAAGACAGAGGAUGCAAGCGUUAUCCGGAAUGAUUGGGCGUAAAGCGUCUGUAGGUGGCUUCAAAAGUCUCCUGUCAAAGAUCAGGGCUUAACCCUGGGCCGGCAGGAGAAACUCUGAGGCUAGAGUUUGGUAGGGGCAGAGGGAAUUCCCGGUGGAGCGGUGAAAUGCGUAGAGAUCGGGAGGAACACCAAAGGCGAAAGCACUCUGCUGGGCCACAACUGACACUGAGAGACGAAAGCGAGGGGAGCAAAAGGGAUUAGAUACCCCAGUAGUCC
Molecule: ribosomal RNA, 426 nt
Filed under: uncultured bacterium
Lineage: Bacteria
Description: partial 16S ribosomal RNA
Rfam family: Bacterial small subunit ribosomal RNA
Source: RNAcentral